GAUGAAGAACGUAGCGAAAUGCGAUAAGUACUGUGAAUUGCAGAAUUCAGUGAAUCAUCGAAUCUUUGAACGCACAUUGCGCCCGCCAGUAUUCUGGCGGGCAUGCCUGUUCGAGCGUCAUUUCAACCCUCAAGCCCCCGGGCUUGGUGUUGGGGAUCGGCGUGCCCUCGCGGCGCGCCGUCCCCUAAAUCUAGUGGCGGUCUCGCUGUAGCUUCCUCUGCGUAGUAGCAACACUCGCACUGGAUCGCAGCGCGGCCACGCCGUUAAACCCCCCACUUCUGAAAGUUUGACCUCGGAUCAGGUAGGAAUACCCGCUGAACUUAAGCAUAUCAAUAAGCGGAGGA
Molecule: unclassified non-coding RNA, 344 nt
Filed under: soil metagenome
Description: partial contains 5.8S ribosomal RNA, internal transcribed spacer 2, and large subunit ribosomal RNA
Rfam family: 5.8S ribosomal RNA (bases 1-120)
Source: RNAcentral